CCUACGGGAGACUGCAGUGAGGAAUAUUGGUCAAUGGGCGCGAGCCUGAACCAGCCAAGUAGCGUGAAGGAUGACUGCCCUACGGGUUGUAAACUUCUUUUAUAAAGGAAUAAAGUGAGGCACGUGUGCCUUUUUGUAUGUACUUUAUGAAUAAGGAUCGGCUAACUCCGUGCCAGCAGCCGCGGUAAUACGGAGGAUCCGAGCGUUAUCCGGAUUUAUUGGGUUUAAAGGGAGCGUAGAUGGGUUGUUAAGUCAGUUGUGAAAGUUUGCGGCUCAACCGUAAAAUUGCAAUUGAUACUGGCAGCCUUGAGUACAGUUGAGGUAGGCGGAAUUCGUGGUGUAGCGGUGAAAUGCUUAGAUAUUACGAAGAAACUCGAUUGCGAAGGCAGCCUACUAAACUGCCACCGACAGUGAGGCUCGAAAGUGUGGGGAACAAACAGGAUUAGAUACCCCAGUAGUC
Molecule: ribosomal RNA, 460 nt
Filed under: uncultured bacterium
Lineage: Bacteria
Description: partial 16S ribosomal RNA
Rfam family: Bacterial small subunit ribosomal RNA
Source: RNAcentral